Transfer RNA from Marinomonas aquimarina, 83 nucleotides. It matches the Rfam family "tRNA". From Rfam's summary of the family: Transfer RNA (tRNA) molecules are approximately 80 nucleotides in length. Their secondary structure includes four short double-helical elements and three loops (D, anti-codon, and T loops). Further hydrogen bonds mediate the characteristic L-shaped molecular structure. tRNAs have two regions of fundamental functional importance: the anti-codon, which is responsible for specific mRNA codon recognition, and the 3' end, to which the tRNAs corresponding amino acid is attached (by aminoacyl-tRNA synthetases). tRNAs cope with the degeneracy of the genetic code in two manners: having more than one tRNA (with a specific anti-codon) for a particular amino acid; and 'wobble' base-pairing, i.e. permitting non-standard base-pairing at the 3rd anti-codon position. Lineage: Bacteria; Pseudomonadati; Pseudomonadota; Gammaproteobacteria; Oceanospirillales; Oceanospirillaceae. The record is from Rfam.
GCCAGUGUGGUGGAAUUGGUAGACACGAUGGAUUCAAAAUCCAUUGCCUAUAAAGCGUGCCGGUUCGAGUCCGGCCACUGGUA